Musa acuminata AAA Group (dessert banana) is the source of this 2660-nucleotide long non-coding RNA. RefSeq lists it as uncharacterized. The transcript has 5 exons. The record is from RefSeq and is a predicted model, not a curated record. NCBI's taxonomy places the organism in Eukaryota, Viridiplantae, Streptophyta, Magnoliopsida, Zingiberales, Musaceae.
GAGACGGGUCCGAAGAACAAAUCCGAUCCAUUUUUUUGCGGGAAUUGCGGAGCGGAUGAUAAUGGAUCCGACCCGAAAUGACACGGUAAAACGACGACGACGACUAGGUAGACUUUCUUCUGUUAUGGGUUUACAUUUGAAAUGAGUGUUGCAGAAUUUUGUAACGGGUUUCGGAUUCAGAAUCCGCAACCCAUGGAUAUCGCUGGAUUAAGAUCAGACGGUGGAAAAGCUUCAUGGAUCUCAGUGAGGCUCCGCUGUCUGAGCUCCGGCCAAGACAGGCAAAUCCUCUUAAACUUUCUUACGUGGCUUCCACUGCGGGCGAGUCUUUCUGAACCGCGUUCCGAAUGAGACAGCUGAACCGGACUCCACGGCCUCGGGUUACAGAACCGCGGUUCUUGUCCUUCUCGGUUGGAUUGGAGUGCGAAAGCUUGUUCUUUGGGCGGCGAUCUCCGGACUUGCCGGGAAGAACAGAAUAUCUCAUAUCUGGUUACAUCAUUUAACAGACGAAAUGAGUGCAAUUCUUACGUCAAAAUGCUCUACAGCAACAAAGAACAUUCUUACAGAUGAGGAUCAACCUCAAGGUGGUGGACAACUCUGGUGCAAAACAGGUCAUGUGUAUACAAGCUUUGAUAGGAAGGAGAGGGGCAAGAUUGGGUGAUUGUAUCAGUGAAGGAAGCACAGCCUCGUGGUAAAGUGAAGAAGGGGGAUGCAGUGUAUGGCAUUGUGGUGUGUGCUGCCAUGUAGAGGGGGCAAUGUGGUGGCAGUGAGAUCGAGUUUGAUGAUAAUGCAGUGAUCCUUGUUAACAAGCAGGGAGAGCCAGUCGGUACCUGUGUCUUUGGGCCAGUGCCACAUGAAUUCGGGAAGAAAAAACACGUCAAGAUUUUAAAUUUAGCUGAACAUAUAGCCUGAGGCAUCUAUUGGGUGCUCUAGCGUCUGUCAGCUACAGGAGUUCAACCAUCAGACAGUCUAACUAUGCAUCCUUUUGGGUUUUUGUGAUGAUUCAUCUCAGCCUAUUGACGGCAUUCGACAUGUUUUAAUUGGAGGAAUUAUGAUGCACCUGUCUAUAUAUAUCUAGCAACAGAGAAGCUGCAGAAACAUAAAGGUAAAGACUGCUUAAGAAACUGAUUCUCUGCAGAACACUCUUGAAGAAUCUAUUGUGCAAUCUUUCAUUUUGGAAGUGUUUGUGUGAUCAAUAAUAUUGCUUUCAAGUGCUUCCGACAUAUCAAAGGCAAGGCAGGUGCAUGUGAUUUGAUCAGCAUCUUCACACCCGAAGCAUGAAGAGACUUGCACGUCCCAGUUCUAAUUGCUGGCUAAACAAUGCCAGUCCAGUUCUGUGCCCCAUUUAUUGAAGGAAACAAUUACUCUUCGAUGAGUUUUUGGAUGACCAAGAUUGUCCUAGGUAUGUUAUCUCAUCUCAUCUCAUUCAAAUGUUCUAUCGAUCGGCUACCCGAUUAAUAGACUACUAAUCUCUUACUACAGAACUCGGGAUUCCUCUGCUACAUGCAAAGAAGUCGUCAUCUCAUGGACCAAAACAAACACUCAAGACUGACCAUUAUAUGUUAGUUAUUGCAAGAACUUCUUCAUCUGCAUUAUGCUUCAAGCGUUCCACAGCCUUGUCUACCUGCAAAAUCCCAGCAACAAAUUAACACCCCACAAGGAAGAAGAAGAUGAAACCUCUCUGCACCAGACUUGCCUCCGUGUUCCAGUUUGUCCUGGCUGUCAAGACUACGAGUGCCAGCGUCUGCACAAAGACUCCAAUUAUCAGCCCCCACCAUAUUCCCUGAAGCAGAGGUAGAGAUCAAGUGUUAGCCCGUCUGUGUGUGCCUCGACAAAUCCAUGGACCCCUGCACCCAAAGAACCCAGCACUCACAGCUGCUCCUAAGCUUGUUUUGAACCCGAGAACGCAUCCGAUGGGGAGGCCGAUGAAGUAGUAAGCCCCGACGUUCACGUAUGCAACGAUGCCUUGCCACCCACUCCCGAUAGCAACUCCUGUGAGAGAUUGAUUGUUCGCGCAGCAUUCAUCAGUGUGAUCUUACGGUCUCUUUUCUCAAACAUUGUGUGUUUGACAAGACGGAUGAGGGGAACAGCACCGUGUCAUACCUGAGAGGAUCGGUUGAACACCAUUCAAGAAAAUAGAGAUUGCAAGUAAUGGGGUCAACUGAACCACCAUUUGGAUCACAUCGGUGCUGCUGGUGUAGAGCUUGCUCAAGGGAGUGCGGAGCACGAGGACCAGCACACUGAUCACCACGCUGAUGCCGAGGCUCGUCGCGACGACGACGAUGACGGCGAGCCUCGCCACCCUCGGGUGGGCAGCGCCCAGCUCGUUGCCAACUCGAACGCUGCGAGAUCGAUCAAGGCCGAGAAAGAGUUCAAACUAGCGAGAAGACCGGAGUCUCCGAAAGUAGUCAAGAGUGUCGUCGAUCUCACACCAACCUGGCUGCGUUGCUCAAUCCCAGCAUGAUCAUGAAGUCCCAGUUCCAGUAGUUGACACUGCAGCAUUUGCCAGUUUCAAUGAUGAGUAUCCCGUCAGAAGGACAAAUCCUUGUACAUACCAAAUCUCCAAGCUGCACAAAGAGAAUGUAAUCUCAAUCCCUAUGAUAAGAGAGAGAGAGAGAGAGAGAGAGAGAGACUUACACUAGCAUGAUGGCUGAGGCGACAGU